AGCAGUAGCCGCGGUAAUACGUAGGUGGCAAGCGUUGUCCGGAAUUAUUGGGCGUAAAGGGCUCGCAGGCGGUUUCUUAAGUCUGAUGUGAAAGCCCCCGGCUCAACCGGGGAGGGUCAUUGGAAACUGGGAAACUUGAGUGCAGAAGAGGAGAGUGGAAUUCCACGUGUAGCGGUGAAAUGCGUAGAGAUGUGGAGGAACACCAGUGGCGAAGGCGACUCUCUGGUCUGUAACUGACGCUGAGGAGCGAAAGCGUGGGGAGCGAACAGGAUUAGAUACCCCCGUAGUCCCUGUCUCUUAUAC
This 303-nucleotide ribosomal RNA is filed under the name uncultured bacterium. RNAcentral's name for it is "partial 16S ribosomal RNA". It matches the Rfam family "Bacterial small subunit ribosomal RNA", at positions 507 to 807 of the family's 1533-position model. The record is from RNAcentral.